GAUGAACGCUAGCGGCAGGCCUAAUACAUGCAAGUCGAACGGUAACAUGAGUAGCAAUACUUGAUGACGAGUGGCGCACGGGUGCGUAACGCGUAUGCAAUCUACCUUUAACUGGUGAAUAGCCCGAAGAAAUUCGGAUUAAUACACCAUAGUAUAUUGAGGAGGCAUCUCCUUAAUAUUAAAACUCCGGUGGUUAAAGAUGAGCAUGCGUGACAUUAGCUAGUUGGUGAGGUAACGGCUCACCAAGGCAGCGAUGUCUAGGGGAUCUGAGAGGAUUAACCCCCACACUGGUACUGAGUCAGGGACCAGACUCCUACGGGAGGCAGCAGUAAGGAAUAUUGGACAAUGGUCGCAAGACUGAUCCAGCCAUGCCGCGUGAAGGAUGACGGCCCUAUGGGUUGUAAACUUCUUUUGUACGGGAAAAAACCCUUCUACGUGUAGAGGGCUGAUUGUACCGUAAGAAUAAGGAUCGGCUAACUCCGUGCCAGCCGCCGCCGUAA
Molecule: ribosomal RNA, 500 nt
Filed under: uncultured bacterium
Lineage: Bacteria
Description: partial 16S ribosomal RNA
Rfam family: Bacterial small subunit ribosomal RNA
Source: RNAcentral